AAAUAAGAAACAAAAAUUUGUAUUUAGUUUCGACCUAAAAUUUUGAUGUUUAUUCAUCCUUAUUUU
This 66-nucleotide transfer RNA is filed under the name Trox sp. TRO01. Its description in RNAcentral is "tRNA-Arg". The record is from RNAcentral. Lineage: Eukaryota; Metazoa; Arthropoda; Insecta; Coleoptera; Trogidae. RNAcentral also lists the same sequence under 1 other name.